Molecule: long non-coding RNA, 1229 nt
Organism: Arvicola amphibius (Eurasian water vole)
Lineage: Eukaryota; Metazoa; Chordata; Mammalia; Rodentia; Cricetidae
Exons: 2
Source: RefSeq, a predicted model, not a curated record
UUUCGGUUUUCCCUUCAGGGUAAAGUUCUGUUUAGUCUUCCAUCAACACAUUUACUUUUCCGCCUGACUCGGCGCGCGUGCGCAGUGCCACCCGGCCCAGGCUGCUCCUGAAAUGUAAGCGUGUUGAACCCGGGGAGGGAAGCUGGACGGCCGUCCUGCAGGAGGCGUGCGGCGUGGACGCUCUGGCCCAGCGGGGAAGGACGCGGACUGGCACGUGGUGGCACGGCCGUUCAAACCCCGGACGCACUGGGAGGCUGAGCCCGGGCUACCGGAGAGGUCCCCCAAGCUGGGGGCCGCAGCCCCCGGCGCGCGCCAAGUUGCCGGGGCGCUUCCAGUCCUGCACUUCCGCGUGCGCUUCUAAAGCCCGGGCUGCCGAACCUUCCAGAAUUUGGAUCCUUAGAAAGAUCCAUCCAGUCGGAUCUUUAACAACAGACACCCCCCACCCCCCCACCCCCCAAAAAAGACACUUCUCCGGGCUGUCUCGCGUUUCACUGACUCGAAAUGUGUUUCUGCAGGACAGUCGAGCAGUAGUUUACGCGUAAUUUGACUCAGCAAUUUCACCAUCCGGACGUUAUCCUACCGGGCAUCCAUCAGUACCAGGAUUUGCGUUCAAGAAGGUUCCUGACUAUAUAUUUAUUAUAAAUACAGUGAGAAUUGACAAAAUAAACAAUGGAGAUUCCCUAAGUGCUCCACAAGCGUUUAAGAAAUAACUGUGUGCCGGGCACAGGAGUCCGUGUUCUCUCUGAUAAGCACUAAGGAACCAGCAAUGUUAAACACACAGGGUUGUUUAUCUCUUCAAUGAGAGUGAUGUAUAACCUAUUUCCACCUAGCAGCCUGGCGACCUUUAUCAUUAGUGUGUUUUUCUCAAUCUGUAGAAACAAGUUUUGUCUGUUUGUUUUUGUUUUUUCAAGACAGGGUUUGUUGUGUAACAGCCCUGGCUGUCCUGGCAUUCACGCCACCAUAGACCAGUCUGCUUCCCAAGUGCUGGGAGUAAGGGCCUUCACCGCUAUAGAAACUGUCUUUACGGAAGAUGUCACAUGUACUUUACAAAGAGUUUCAGUGUAGUUGUGUCUUAAACUUUGCUGUGCACACAUUUUUGAGUUAAUUGUGCACCUAGGAUUAAGUUAAUUAUCACCAGGAAAGUUUUCACCAAAUUGUGCUGUGCUUAAACGUGCCUACAAUAAACUCCUUGGUGUCAGACUCUCAAAGUUUGAACCAGCACUGGGUUA